UUUAAAAAUGUCUGAUUAUUGUAUUAAAUAAAAAGUUUGAUUUUAGUAAAAUCAAUACCAUUCAAUAUUAAUCAAUAUUUUCUUCUCUAAGUCCUAUAUAAAGUAAAUUUUUUGGUGAUGCCUAGGUCUCAAACUACAUCAUUUGGUUCGUGGUAGACUUUUAAUUGCGUUUAGUUCCUAUUCUAUCAUAAUAGUGAACUUUCAAGCCGCCACAAGCCAAUCGGAGAUGGCAUAAAACUUGCCUUCAUGCAAACUUCAAAUGAUUUCUUUUCAGAGAACAUGCUCUUGAGGUCUAUGGGGCUAGAACCAUAUCUGCAGAAUAGCAUAGAUGAAGAAGCAAUCAGAGUUGAAUCCAUGACGUUUAGUCCUAGCUAUAAAACAAGUGAGUCAUUCUAUUCUAUCCUAAUCUAAGGUACUUAAAGAGCACUUAGUAUGGCAGAAGCUAUUUUUACCGCAGAUUGCUCGUCAAAGCAAAGUUUAAAGAAUUUAAACACUAUAUAAACAAAUAAUUUUUUUUAGGAUGUGAAUGUGUAGAUCUAUUGUAUUAGGAAUAUUCCAAGAUAAACUCAGUGGUGAGUGACGCCUUCAAUCGUUCUCAAAUAUUACACGUUUGUUGUUUCGUUCGACAAAAUUACAUACCGUUGCACUACACCAACACCUCAAGUCACAUUUAUCUCCGCACGAUUUUGACGCUGGUUCAGUCAAUUGUUUCGGUGCCAGUUGGUACUGCUGUUGCAACAAGUAGUUGAUGUUACUGUAUGUUGUUAUCGGCAUUUCAAUUACUGCGCCGCUGUUCUGCCCUUGCCACUUCCUUAGUCUUGUCAACUGAGGUGUGAACUACUGCUCUAUAUGUGAAUUUAUGUGCAGGCGUAAAUGUCAGUGUAACGUCGUUGACUGGUAACUUACGCACGUGCCUUGCCGAGAGAACUUGAACUAGUGCAAAAAAUAUUUUAUUUUAUUUUCUUUCCCCUUUAAGGUUAGUAAAGUAAUGCAAAGGGUAAUGGCAGUGUAAUUCAAGUAAACGAAGUAUCGAAGGGAUUACUUGGCAGUUCCUAAAAUGAAAAGAGAACACAGUUUGUUUUCAGUAGAUUUUCCAGUAGGGCCCAUUCGUCAAUCGUAGCGCAAGUCCAUUCGAAUGUUCUAUCCAUCAUUGUUUGGCAUGGCUGCGCUUUAGCUGUUGACCACAUUGUUUGAGCGCUCUAGGUGUUAGUGCGUACACCUGCACGUAUGUGUGCGUAUCUGUUUUAUUGGCAAUUGUUACAACGGUAACUACAAGUUUGACAGGUGGACUUGUCAUUUGAUUGCCAUUUGUUAUGUUGAAGUUGAUGCGGCCGUUGCUGCUAUUGUUGCUGUUGCUAUUGCUUUUGUUGUUCAUUGGUUUUCGGUUUUGAUGCUGCCGGUUUCGUUUCGGUUGAUUUUGGUUUUGUCAAAAUCCAUUUGCUGAUACUGAUUUGGUAUGUUGUUGGCAAAAACACUUAGCACCGAUAGCUUACAAAACGAUUUGUACGAAUUUCACAUGCGUAGUAGUUUGGUCAUUUUCUGAUUGAUUCAAUGCAAUAAUUUUGUGUUUAAUUUGCAAAUAGCAUGUGCUUCCGGGAUUAAGAUGCUAAUAAAUAAAAAUAUUUAAAGCAUGGUUAGUUCAUAGUGAGAUUUGUGUGAAUAAACCAGCGGGAUACUAUUCUAAAUUUAUGGAAUUUACUAAAUGUUUAAGCUUUGGAAUAUACAGUUUCCAUAAGUAUUUUGAUUAUUAUUUUUACUUUAUAUGUAGAUUUCAGUCCCUCGCGCCAACUAGUGGUGUUUUUAAAGAAGUCUGCCAUUACCAAAAUAUUCUUCAUCUUCAAUCUUUUAGUUUUCCAAUAAAUUGAUGAAUAUUAUUUACAUGACCUCAUAAUGUAUAAUCUUAAGUUAUGUCUGUAAGUUUAUUCUAAAGGUCUUGCUCAUGCGUGCUUGCUCAAACUCGAUUAAUACAAGUAAUUAAAAUCUUGUCUUCUUCGCUAGCAGCGAAACAAUCCCAGCAAUCCUCAGUAGAAUUCCAGCUGCCCUAUGACAAACCAUUGUUUUCUUGCUUAAUUGAAGCUUAGCGUUUUCCCCUGUCGAUCAGGCUGUAAUGUAAUGAGACAUUGCAACGCAACGGCGGUCACACUUGAACAUUACCUCUGUUGCCAUGUGGGGCAUGCAGCAAUUCGUAAACACACGCAAGUAGUAUUUAUAUCUAUACGUAUAUGUAUGUAUGUAACUCACCACUCCGUAACACUUUUGGGGAUUGCCCAACAACAAUGCAAUGUUGCAACAUGCCGGCGUUGCUAUUUCUUUCGAGAUGAGUGUUCACGCUUUUUGAAAUGUGCGUGUUUUAACUAUGUUAUAUUCCGAUAUAAGCAUGCGCGUUGUUAUUGUAAGUGAGUAUUAAUAAAUCAAUUAAUCGAAUUAUCGGUUAUUGAAUUUCAAUGGUGUAUUAUUGAUGUUGUUAUUGUUUCUGGUGUUGGCGUGAUUACCAACAUUUAUAUAUAUAUUAUAUAUAUACAUACAUACCCAGUAAAAAUCUUUGGAUUAAUACUAAAAUCGAGUAAUAAAGGAGUAAUUACUUGUUCAUCCAUUUCGAGCAUUAAGUGAGUAAUAAAGGCAGUUUCGUUAAUUUUUUCAAAAUUUUUCUCGCUUAUUGAUACAUUAUGGAGGAAUAAACGAGCUAAUAAUAUGCGAAUACUUCGUUUAUUCUAUUAUUACUCCAAAAUGUAUCAAUAAAGGAGUAAUUAAUUGUUCAUCCUUUUCGAGCAUUAUGUGAGCAAUGAAGCAUUUUCGUUAGUUUUUACAAAAAUCGUUUCCUCGCUUAUUGAUACAUUUUGGAGGAAUAGACGAGCUAUUAAUAUGCUAUCGCAUACUUCUAUUGCUCGUUUAUUACUCCAAAAUGUAUCAAUAACGGAUUAACCAUAACGGCCAAUCAUAACUGUUAAUUUUUGUGGAAUUCUUUUGUUUACAAUAAAAGCGUUUUUUGUCACUUUAAAAUAGUCUGAAUUUUGUAAUCAACGCGUGAACAUUAUUGUAGUAUCGUGAAUAUAAUCAGAUAAAAAGUGGUCAACUGUCGCGAAUAUUUACGGGUAAAAAGUGAUAAUUAAUUAAAAAAAUGUGUGAAAAUAUUUAUUCUAAGCGUCACCUAAGGCGAUUAGUGAAAAAAGAAAUUCAAACAUUUUCUACAAAGAAUCGAGAGGCUGUUUAACUUUUUCUUUUUCGAAUCAGUUAAAGAAACAUAUUCGACUUACGGGGAUUUUGAAAAAGCGAUUAAACUGGCCUUUCGAAAAUGUAAAGCAACUUUUUACCGAAAGACCUAUUCAAUAAAAUCUGCUUCGUCUCAGGAAAAUUCCUAAAUCAUAACUUGAUUUUAAACAAUUAUAACUAUGCAUAUACAAUGUAUUUAUAAUUUAUGUGAAUUACUAAUACUUAUAUUUUGAAAAUUAAAACAUUGAAUUCAAUUAUUUAAAAAACAGUUUAUAUUUUUCUCUGCUCUUUUUGGAUGUAAAUAAUAUUACUCUUUUUUGUGCUCUUUCUGGAGGCAAAAAUCAUUACUCUUUUUGUGCUCUUCUAUUCCAAAAUAAUUACUCCUUUUGUACUCCUUCUGGAGAUAAAAAAGAUCACUCCCUCUGCUCUCGUUUCGGAGGUCAAAAAGAGCUCAAAAGAAUGCUCGGUUUGCGCUCCAUUGGGAGCUCAAAAGGAGUGAUCCCUCGUAAGGACAUGCUAUGUUAAAAAGGAGUAAUAAAUGCAUGGACCUCGGAGCAUUGUGGAGUAAUCCAUUACUCGCAAAGGAGCGAUCUAAGAUUAAUCUUUGGAUCAUCCAAUUUUUUACUGGGUAUGUACAUAUUGAAAUAUACAUAUAUGUAUGGAUGUGAUGUGGUAUAAGCUUACUACAAUAGCAACAUUAUUUAACUGCAUCAACAACAUAUUGAAGUAAUUACAAUUCGUGCUUUCAGAGCUCUGCCUCUAUAUUUGUUGUGCAUAAUUUAUUGGAUUCACUGAUAAAAAAUUAAUCACACAUAAGAUUUGAUGGUAGAAAUAUAUACAUAUACAAAAUACUUUGGCAAUUGACAAGUAAAACGCCUUUAAACUUUAAAAAUUGUAAGUACAGUUAGAGUUGAGCAAUUUAAGUUAAUCAGCAAUGUACGGAAUCAAGUAGCAGAUCACAGCAUAGUUUAAUCUUCCUUAAAACAUUCAAAAAAUCGCUGUAUGUAAAAAAACUGAAAAAUGAAAGUGUAUUCAGAACUUCGCAAAAUGACUUGAGCGGCAUCAGCUAAAGCGACAUUAAAAAUUCACAGCAAUUUGCCUGAAUCUCUAUGGCGAAUGUAACAAUAUUAACAUAUACAUACAUCUAAGAACCAACAGUAUCGGCACUAAUUAACACUAACCAAAUGAUAAAAAAUUGUUAGAAACUCACUUAUGAAAGCAUUUAGUCAUUCAAUGAAUUCUAAAGUAUCACUCAUACUCGUAGCCGAUGAGAGCAAACAAAUACUUCUGUGUUUGCACAAUUGUAUAUAUUUUCUUCCCCUUUUGAGUGUCUGUAAACAUACAUACACAUGAACACAUUUUGUAAGCUAAAUGUGGCAUUUGUGACUAAUUUCCAGUUAACCUUUGGCAGGCACUUAAUUAGGGGCGUCAGCGAAUGCGCGCUGAAAGGCAACAAAAAGGGGUUCAAUCGGUCGAUCGGUCGCUAUGUCAUGGCGUGGAGACACGACCCUUUUCUACAAGAAUAAAUAUGCUUAAUGUUCAUGUAAAACCACAACGAACGCAACGAAAUACUUUACAAAAUUUAAUUAAGCCUACAGGCAACUACUCAUACAAACCUAACGAAAAUAUAAAUUCAUUCAAUACAUAUUUAACUAAUGCACAUACAGAUAUAUUUAUAUAUCGCCAAUUGCUGGUGUGUGUUGGGAUAUGUGUGUAAGCAUUGAAUAAAUAUUUCAAUAACUCAAAUUAUAGCGUUUAAUAGCUGAAAUAUAAUGAAAAAUUGCCGCAUCUGUUGAAGUGCUGGGAAAACUGAACUCUGAAAGGUCUGCCUUUUGGGGUUUUGGGUUGUCUUGAAGCAAGCAAUUUGUGCUUGGUAUAAAAGUAAUGCAAUUAACAACAAUAUUUUAAAUAGACUCUUACUUACAUACAUAACGGUAGUAUAAAUAGGAAUUCAUCAAUAUGCUGGGAAAUUUCGAAGGCAUAAUACAUGUAGCAGAAUAUUAUAUGUUGCUGGGAAUCAUUCGAAGGUGUAUUAAUAAGGAGCUCCUAAAUUUGGAGAGUUUAAUAUUUCUUGAUAUAUGCACAUUUGUUCGUGUUCGCAUAUUUAUAUAAAUAUGGAAUAAUAUUGUUGUUGUAAUGUUGUUAUUGUAUAGAAUUAAAUAUUUGCCAUAAACGAUAUAAGCUUAAAAAGUUAUUGGACGAUAGGUUGAAAGG
Molecule: long non-coding RNA, 5424 nt
Organism: Zeugodacus cucurbitae (melon fly)
Lineage: Eukaryota; Metazoa; Arthropoda; Insecta; Diptera; Tephritidae
Exons: 4
Source: RefSeq, a predicted model, not a curated record